Molecule: long non-coding RNA, 19427 nt
Organism: Loxodonta africana (African savanna elephant)
Lineage: Eukaryota; Metazoa; Chordata; Mammalia; Proboscidea; Elephantidae
Exons: 4
Source: RefSeq, a predicted model, not a curated record
CAGUUACUCCCGGAAGCGCUGGGACGGGUGGUGAGGGGCCCCGGCAGGUGGCGCGCCUUACAGCGGACGGUGUUCGUGCUGCUUUCCGUGCCGUGGUUUCUGAAAGAUACAGACCAGAAGAGGAGUUUGGGGCUUGACACCUGACAUCUUAACACCAGUUCCUGUUUCUUGAGGAAGGAAGAGGUAAAAUAAAUCAGCGUUUUCUGUGUCCUUCUCCAUCCCCGGAAGUCCUCAUGAAGACCCUCUCAGCUUCAACUUGAACGUGAAUAUGAGCAGCUGAUCAUCUGUUCUGCAGUCAGCCCCUGGCCAGAUUCUGACUCAUGAUAUUGACCUUCUCCAUCAUCACCUUCCACAAAUUUGAUUCCUGUCUAUUCUGCCUGGAAUGGUGCACGAGUAUAGUCACCGUUUAUGCUCCUGAUGAAAGCUGAACACCUGGUUCCUGGUCUUACUAUACAAGUUUCAUAGAGGAUGCGAAGAGGAGUUUGGGUUUGACACCUGACAUCUUAGCAGUGGUUCCUGUUUGUUUGGGAGGGAAGUGGUAAAAAGAAGGCAGCAUCUACUACUUCCUUUUCCAUGAGUCUCAGAAAAUCCUCCUGAAGACCCUCUCAGGUCCCAAGGACUGAUGGGAAAUCCCUUGGUUUAUUCUUAAACUUUGCCCUUGAGGCAUAUUUUGUUGAUGACCACAUAUAAAAUAUUGUCCUCUCAAGGAUGCACUCUAAUUCUUACCUAGACUUGAUGCAGAAUGAGUAUAUAUGAAAACUAAAGUUGGUUCUUAAGCAAGGGAUUAUCUCUCAGAGAAGGUCCAUGGGAAGGUUCAUACCAACUUCUGUGGUACUGAUAUUGCUCCAAGGAGCCCUGGUGGUACAAAAGUUAAGUGCUCGGCUGCUAACCGAAAUGUUAAUUGUUUGAACCUACCCAGAGGCUCUAAGGAAUAAAGAUCUGGCAGCCUGCUCCCGUUAAGAUUACACACCAGUAAACCCUAUGGGGACAAUUCUCCUUUCACACCAGGCCACGGUGACUCAGAAAUCCCCUCGAUGGCACCUAGCAAAAACAACAGGAAGACAUUGCUCCCGAUGUGCUUGAAAUGCCUCUCUGGGGAAGGCCUUCAGAGCUGGCUCAUGGCCACAUGGGAAUUGAGACUCAUUUUUUUGUUUCCACGACUUAUUUUGGGUCCAAAAAUUUAUUUUCCAGUUUAUUCACCAGACUUGAAUACAGCCAGCUCUCAGAUAUUGUCAAAAUUAAUUCCUUUCUCUAAUAAUGAUUUGCCACCAAGAGUGUAUUCCCAAGCAUUUCCAAGAGACUGGAAAACCUUUCCAAAGAGGCAUGUCCAGUGCCAUGUUGUGCAGUGACUACAGUGUUGACAUAGUAUAUUUAUCCACAUAGUUCCCACGUUUUCUGCUUUCCUGAAAUAUGAAUGAAAUUCCAAGUCUACCACCUGAACCACUUUUCUCAGUGUUUCAUUUAGCAGAAGUCUGGUGGUGAUGAAUUCUCUCAGUUUUCCAUCCCCUGAGAAUGGCAUUACUUUUGCUUUACUCCCAAAGGUAUGACUGGGUAUAGAAUUAUAUAUCUAUAUAGAUUAAUAUUUCCCUCUUUGUGUUGAAAAAAUGUUGUUUCACAAUCUUUUGGCUUCCAUGGCUUCUGAUAAUGACUAUAGAGUUAUUUGAAUUAUUUUUCCCAUUUGAAAUGUGUUGUUUUCUGUCUAACUUCUUCCUGAGUAUUUUCUUGGUCUUUGUUAUUCUGCCAUUGAUUAUGAUAUAUCAUAUUUUUAUGCAAAUAAUGCAUGUUUUAUAUAUAUUUUUUCUUUUUUUGUCAACUGCAUUUUCCCCCUCCCAGGUAUUGUCAUAAGCACAGUACGCCGUUUUCUUUUUUACAUGUCACUGUAAAAGAAUUCGUAUAGUGUGCUUAAAAUAUUUUCAUAAUAAUAUGUUAUUGCGGUAUAUAAUUCCUUAAAUUUAACUCAUUGGGGUUUGCUGAGCUUCUUGAAUCUGUAAGUUCAUGUCUUUCACCAAAUUUGGAAAGUGUUAGUAUUUCUCCUAAUACUUUUUUCUGCACCACACAUUUUCUCCAUGUCUUCUGGAGUUCCAAUAAAGAAAUAGGGUUUUGGUCUAGUUUUUGAGGCUCUGCUCAUCUUUUUCUGUAUUUUUUCUCUGUUUUCAGAAUAAAUAUUUUCUAUUGAUCUACUUCCAACUCAGUUUUUUUCUCUGUCAUCACCAUUCUGCUUUUGAAACUAUCAAAUGAAUUUUUCAUUGCUAGCAUUGCAUUUUUAGCAUGUAAAAUUUUCAUUUGCAAAUAGCCACUAUCUUUCCACGUAUUUAAAAAAUGUCCCUGAUAUUUCUUGGAGCAUGAUUAGAAUAGCAUUUUAAAAUACGUGUCUUAAGAUUUCAAAACUGUAAGUCUUGCUUAAAUGUUAUGGAAAAACAAAAUGUUAAUUUUGUUUUUUUUAGCAUUCAAUUGACCCAGAUAUGUUCAUGCUGCAAGUUCUGUCCUGUUUUUGUAUUCUGUGGCUCACAUCUUUGUUCAAUUUUUGAAGCCUUUGCGGUGAUACUCGGGUCUAAUCUACAUGAGUGCCACCCAGACUGGAAUCUUGAUGGCGUUGUAACCCCUAGUGAGGCUCUUAAAGGAUUUGAUAGUGCUUCUUAGGGUCAGGGCAAGGCAUAUGCAUCUGGGGGGAUGGGUGGUGAACCAGGAGUUCAUAGCAAGUUUGAAGAAUCUCUUUCUUGUGCCGCUUCCUCUCUCUAUUUCUCUGAUGCUCUCUGAGCUCUGAAGGAGUGCUUUCUUGGCCCACUGGUAGGAAUCCUGUGGCUUUAAUCUCCUCAUUCUGUCGUGCACAUAAGCGACUGGUUCUGCCUAUGGGGCCAAAAUACUCCACAACCGGCCCAAAGGUUGGCAGCAUGAGUCUGUCAAGAAGCGUCUCAGAAGACUAGCCUGGUGAUCUGCUUUCGAAAAGUCACACCCUUUGAGGCAGAACUGACUAAAUGCCAACAGCGGACAGGGAGAGAGAAAACGUAAUGGAGCUUCCUCCACACUCUUGGGCCCUUACAUACUCUGGUCAGAGAGAAGGAAUCUGUUCUUCCAGAGUUUUAAGUUUCUUCCCACCUGCCGACUUGCCCACCUCUCUCCUUUAUGGACCCUCUAUCCCAUUUGAUAUGAGAGAGUGCUUCUCUUGGAGCUGUUUCUGUGCACAGCUGGUAUGCAGUUACAUGAUUUGGACUCAUUUAAUUUCAGCCUCUGGAAUGUUUAUACUUUAUGUUCUGGUUUCCUACCACUGCCAACCACUUCCUUUGCAGAGUCCUGAGAUAGCGGCCCAUGCAUUUGUCCAGAUACUUAGUUGUCACAUACCAGUAUAGCCACUGGGGGAAGUGUUGGUUGUGGUAAGGGGGGGAGGGACUGUACACUGAAGGAGCUGCAAGAUCUGGCUGCCUUGUGUGAGCAGGACGGGGGUGUGCUGAGGAUGGGUGCUGAAGGUGCUGAGUCAAGGGGAGUUUAAUAUAAAGUUGGGUCAAGGACAGUUUGUUGAUAUGGGGGAACUCUCUCCUAACAAGGAUUUAUCGCCAUAGCAAGGGCUCUAGAAAUGGGUCUCGUAAGCUGUGGCAUUGUUCUUCGAUGCUUGGAAAAGGCAAUGGCCCACUAUCUACGAAAUAGAAAUGCCAGACCUGCUGUGUCAGAUGUGGGAAGAUGAGGCAAAAGUCUCCAAUAUGUGGCCGUGGCAGAGUUAGUUUCUAUAAGACCAUUUCUUGGCAGUCCUGAAGGACACGCAUUUCAUCAAAAUAAUAAGGAAUGCAGAGAUGAGGGGAGCAGCAACAACACUGAACUUACUGAUAUCUGUCUUCUCUAGGGGGUCCCUGGGUGCCACAAACAGUUCAGUGCUCAACUACCAGCUGAAAGGUUGGCAGUUUGAACCCACCGAGGGGUGCCUCAGAAGACAGGCCUGGUGAUCUCCUUCUAAAGGGUCACAGCCUUGGAAACCCUAUUAAGCAGUUGUACGCUGCACACAUGGGGUUGUCAUCAGUUGGAAAUGACUUGACAGCAACAAACGACAACAACAAACGACAACAAUUCUCUAUUGGCUGAGAUUGUUCAUGGGAGCUGGGCUACCUCAUACCAAUAUAAGUAAUGGGAUCCCAGCCCAACAGAGGCCAGGUAGAAGUACUUAACUGUCAGAAACAAGUUGUGUGUGAUUACAACAACGGUCAGCAGGUCAGAGUAUUAGUUACCUAUUGGGGCAUAAUAGACUAUCCCCAAACUUAGCAGAUGAGAGAUAAAUGGAAAAAUAUUCAAUUCAUGCUGAUAAAUUUGGAACUAGACAAAGAUUUUGGUAAGACUCAACAUACUUUUAAGGUGAAGGGUUAAACUAGAAAAUUUAAAUAACUGGUAUAAGUAUAAAAACAGAUUUUCAAAAUAAUGAUAUAAUUGCAUACCCGAAUAAAAGACAAAUACAUCAAAAUCAAGGGUUUCUGUCCCAUGUGGACAUAAGAGACUAAAAUUAGCAAGGGUGGGAAAGGCUGGUCGUUCUCUUUCGCCUAUUACUUGACUGUAGCAAACUGUGUCCAAAACUAUAAAAUAUUUAGGGGAACAUUGUUUUGACCGGAGCAGCGAAGGACAUAUAUAAAGAAAACUAAUGUAUUAACGUAAAUAAAACAAAACCUGAAUAUGUGCAAAAAAAUAUGCCAUAUUUCCAAGUGGGAAGCCUUGUUAAUCAAAUGGAGGUUCCCAAAACUAACACAUAAAUGGAUUGCAUUUCCAAUUAGAAUAUUCGGGUAGUUGUUUUUUAAUUGUAUACAUUAAUCAUAAGCUACAAGUAGUACAAUAGAUAACAAAGAAUGUUGUUGCUGGAGCCUUGGACAAGAUGUUUGACUCAGCCGUCCCGUCUGACUGCCCAGUAGGCCUUUAUAGGCCGUAAUCUUUAUGGGAGCGGACCGCCAGGCCUUUCUCCCUCAGAGCCACUGGGUGGGUGCGACCUGGCAGCCUUUCUUUCAAUUAGCAGUCAAGCACUUAACCACUGCAACACCAGGGCUGCAUUACCAAAGAAUAGACAAGAAAAACCUGAAAUAACAGGAUAGUAACAGGUGUCUACCUCAUCAAGUAACAGAACAAAUCAAUAUUACAUAGCAUACAAACUGACAGGUAGACAACUGAAAUAGAAAACCUACUAGGAAAUCACAGUAACUAUUCAUAAAAAAAAAAAAAAAGGUGGUGUGAAAAUCAUAUUUAUUUAAUAAAUGGUGCUGACUCAACUGAUUGUUCUGGGGGACAAAGCUUGCAAAAAUGUGAUACACAAAUCAUAGAUUUGGAAAAUUAUGUGAAAUGUAGAUGACCAGGAUUAAUAACAGUUUAUAUUUUACACAGAAGGAUAAAAGUUAAGCACUUGAAAAAUGAGCAGUGAAUUCAAACAGAUCGUUCACAGCAAAUCCACAUGCCCAAUAAACAUAGUCCAAGUUGCUCAAAAACACUGGUAAAUAAGAAAAUAUCAAAGUCCCAGUGAAACUGGCACAAUUUAAAAAUCGACACCAUCUAUAGCUGGCUGGGCUGUGGGGAGAAGGAAGCCCUGAGACAUGGCUGGAAAGGUGCUUUAGGACAGCCUAUAGGGGAAAGACAUGACCAUGGCUCUGUACUUUUAACAUUCUUUGAACUGGAAAUCUCACUCUGUGGAGUCUACUCCACAUAAGCGAAUCCUGUACUAUACAAAGGAUGUUUAUUAUUGAUGCUGACAAAACAUUGACUGUCCAUUGGUGGUGAAAUGAUAGAGAAUAUAUGGUAGAGCUACAUCAUCAAUAACAUAGGGAGUCAUUAGAAUGAAAAAGAGUUGUAGUAGUUAAGUAGGAGAAAUCUCUGUGAAGUAUUAUGGAAGUUUACUGAAAAAAUCAAGGUGCAGAAAAGUAUAUAUAAAAUGAGCACAUUUGGGUAGAACAAUAACAAUUGAACAUAUUUGAAUACCUGUUUACAUGUAUGUGUGUGUAUAAAUGAACAGAUGAUGGUACAUGUAUGUGUGCGUGUGCUUUUUUAAGCAAGGAUAAGAUAGACUACUUACCAUAUGGUCGAAGUGCAUUACCUUGGAUUCACUUGUGGGAAAGAACAGGGGGUGGAAAGCUAGAACAUGCAGGAAGAGUGGACUGAAAAAGCAUGGGUGAUAACGUGUUUCCAUUUCACUAGUGUUAUGUAUGAGACAAACAAAUCUGUCUUGAAAGAAGCCGGAAUGUUCCUUAGAAGCAAGGAUGGCUUUAGACAUGUUAUCAGAAGGGACCAGUUCCUGGAGAAGGACACCAUGCUUGGUAAAGCAGAGGUCCAGCGAAUAAGAGGAAGACCCUCAAUGAGAUUGACUGACACAGUGGCUACAACAGUGGGCUCAAAUAUAGCAACCAUUAUGAGGGUUGCCCAGGACCAGGCAGUGUUUUGUUGUGUUGUGCAUAGGGUCGCUGUGAGUCAGAGCCAACUCGAUAGCACCUAACAACAUGUCUAAGUCUAGAUAAAGUGUACUAAAAUUGUUAUCAUCUAUUUAAUUUAUGUGUGUAACUUAGAAGACAUAAAAAUAUAGUUAAUGCUAUAUCUAAUGACUUACAGAGAGUCAAGAUAGAAUGUCAAGGGAAAGAAGGGGCAAGAGCAAUGUGGGUAGAGUGUGACCAAGUUUCCAUAAAAGCAAACACCCCAUCAGAUCUACUUGUGUACCUGUGACUGUGUAUACAUGUCACAGCAGAGAAACCUAGGGAAGGAUACACGUGUCUAUUAACUUUGGAUACCUUGGGGGAGCAGGAGCAAAAUAUGAGGGUGGGACUCUGCAUGUUAACUUUUUCAUUAUACAAAUUUGUAUUUUUAGACAUGUAAUAAAAAAGAAUUUCAUAGCUUUGGAAAUUAGUAAAUGACAUAGACAUAUAUUUUUAAAUAGGUGAAAAUUCUCUAUGACAGACAAAGGUUUUAAUCACUGAAAGGAGAGCAUACCACAGACAGUAAUAAUCACAAUCAGUGGAUUUCUUGCAUGUUCUUGGAGCCAAUGUGCUCUUCUGGUGUCUGUAACUAGAAAUGACCAGAAAUAAUUUGGGGAAGUCAAUCACCUCUUGCAAACACACGUCCACAGCUAAAUGAAGGAGAAUGGACACCAUGUGCAAUUCACUAGGUAACUCAUGUGCCUCUAGAAGAUUCUCUUUCCCGGAUAUGCUGCCACUACCUCCUCCCCACCUUGCCACACCGAAUAACCCACCCUUGUGCAUUCUAGGCCCUUUUCAGGACUGAGCUUAGAUGACAUCAACUGAGAAGAUAGUUGAUGAAUAGAAGAGAGUUUGAUGAAAAGAUUUCAGAAAGCAGUACCUCCCCAACCAGCCUCUCCCCAACCUGGGAAUGCCAACCUCUCCCACUCUGAUACCUCUGAGAAUCUCUGAUUUUCCUUUUGGAUCCUUAGGAGACUGCUGAAUUCACCUGUCCUGAAAGCCUUCACUGCCCUCUACCUCUGACGCUGUUCCAUGCAGGAGCUGUCUCUGUCACUCUGAGAAAUCCACACAGGACAGCCUGUGGUUGGAGGUGCUCAUUCUGGAGGUCCUGCCCUCCCUGCCUGUGUCCCGAAGGCUUCCCUGUGACAGUAGAGGUCUCAUCUUCCAGGGAGAUGGCUACGCCCCUGUCAUGUCCAGACCUGGGACCUGAAGCUACGGCUGAGAUUUGGGCUUUUCUGUCCACUACUUAGUCUGGGCCUGAAUCUGCCCCUUCCCACCCUCACCUCUGAUCACCUGUGUUCUUGCUGUUCUCUCUGGGUUUACAAGCCUGCCCUCUGCUUCUUUCAUCUGAGUCAACCUUUUUCUUCAGUUCUUUGACCUCAGGACAUGUCAGGUUAGACCACAGAAAGAAGAAAAAAUAUUAGCAAGUUUCAUUAACAUGUGGAAAACCUGAAAGAAUAGCUUGAUUUAGAGGAGAGGAAAAAGUUCCAAAGCUCUACUCCUUACCUUAGGACAUGCUAUACAGAAAAUAUCCUGCAAGCACUGGAUCAACUCUUAUCCAGAAAUGGAAAACACCCAGGAGGAUUUUGCUACACCAGCUCCCCCUUCCACUCCCCUAAUCCUAAUCGUAAACCCAAAUUCACCCUGUGAGGACAGAAGACAUGACCGGGGUGAGCUCCUUUUUCUCCACCCCGCCCUCCUGUCCUCCUCCCAAGCCCUGCUUCUUUCUCUGCCUGCAGGCUGCUGGGAAGGGACCCAGAGGCCUUGGUUUAGGGCUUUAUGUUCACUGCUCACCUGCGGGCAGGUUCCGCUCAGUCUGCGGCUUCUCUGAUUCCUUCUCCUGCAAAGAACUCAGUGACACCCCAUGACCGUCACACCUCCCUUAGAGCUGUCCUUGCAGGGACCCCUCAGCCUCCCAAGUCCCACUGAAAUCCCAUUUCCCUUUCCCUACUUAUGCUAUGCUCAUCCUCAGAGUUCUGAGACCUCAUCAUCCAGGUGAGGCCUGUCCUCUCCUCUUCUGGGCCAGUGGAGCCUCUGAGGGGACCUGGUGUCUGCGGUCAGCCAUCUGGGGCUUCCUCCAUCCAGAUCCUCCUAGGGCUGGAGCUCUCUGUGUAUUCGGGGUAGGAGGGUGGGGAUCUUCCAGGGGAGCUGGGUUAAACAAAACUGAAUGGAGGUCUCUCCUGAAGGGCCCACACUUCCAGCCCAAAGGCCCUGCUCCUCCUAGUCCGGGGGUGCUAGAGGGUCUUCUGGUGCUUCCCGCUCUGGCCUUAGUGCUGCACCUGCACCCUCUGUAGCCUGAACUUCUGCCUCUGCAGCCUCUCCAGCUGGUCCCUCAGCCUCUUUAGCUCCUCUCUCUGCUUCUCCAGCUGCUCCUCCAGGUGCCUGCAGACCCACACUCUCCCUCACCUCCCUCUUCUUGGCGGCCAUCAGGCAGCGUCUGCCCACCUGGCGGCAGCAUUCGGGCCUACAGGGGACUGAGGGUGGAAUCUGGAAGGCAUUAUGCUGAGUGAAAUUAGUCUGUCGCAAAACGACAAAUACUGUAUGAGACCACUAUUGUAAGAACUCAUGAAAAAGUUUAAACGCAGAAGAAAACAUUCUUUGAUGGUUAAGAGUGUGGGGAGUGAGGGAGAAGAAAAUUCACUAACAUUGUGAAAAUGUCAGUUCUACCCAAAACCAUCUACAGAUACAAUGCAAUCCCAAUUCCAAUUCCAAAGACAGUUUUUUUAACAGUAACUGUAGACAAAUAUCAUCUUAGGUGAAGGGAAGGACAACACACAAUACGGGGGAAGUCAGCACAACUGGACUAAACUAAAAGCUAAGAAGUUUCCUGAUCACAACCAAAUACUUUGAGGGACAGGAGAGCAGGGGCGGUGGUCUGGGGACCAUGGAUUCGGGGGACGUGUAGGUAAUUGGCAUAAGGAAGUUUAUUAAGAAAAUGUUCUGCAUCCAGUUUUGGUGAAUGGCAUCUGGGGUCUUCCAAGCUAGUAAGCCGCCAUCUAAAAUUCAGAGAUAAGAGGUUUGGGAGAAACCACAGCCCAUCACACUCCGUUAUCAUUCCCUGAACUCACAUUUCUCUUUCCAAUAGAAUGGUAACCUCUUUGAAGGCAGGGAAAACUUUCAAUUCAUUUUUAUUACAUACUUAUUAUUAAGUUUCCCCCAAUCCUCCCAACAUCUCCAAAAGCUGCCAUGUUUGUCUUGUUUAGGUUCAAACUGGGCCCUCGAAACUGAACAAUGUCAGCAAUGAUGUCACACAAGUGUUAUGGAAGCCUUGGUGCUCACUCAGAUCCAACUGCUCUUUGGAGAGGUUGUCGAUCUGAGGUCUCCUGUGGGAGAGCAACUUAAGCUACCAGUUCACAGAGAGUGAUUCCUCAGUUGGAGUUCCCAACUCGUGAGAGCUUGGAACAGAGGGGUGAACAUCCUUUGGGGGACCUUUUUUUUUUUUUUUUGGUUUACCUUCACCCAGUCAGGAUGAAAUGGCAAUAUGGGAAGGAGAAACCUCUAAGACUCGAGGUAGGGGUGGGAGAAAAAUUCUUCCUGAUUGACAGGAGGUGUGUGGCAAAGAGUCUGAUUUCACCAGACAAGAUUUGGAGACAAGAUAUGGAUUUUGAGUGAGGAGAUGAAGUGGCUCUCCCAGAGAAAGUACUUGCUGUCAUUUAGUAGACAACAAAACAGUGAUAUGAAUAAAGGAAUGAGUGAGUGAACCAAAGAACACUACUGUAACUCUAAGGGCCUUUCUGAGUAGGCACAGACUAGCUACUCAAUUGUUCAGGCUUGGGAACCUCCUAUGUUGAGGAAGCCACUGGGCAACUGGGACGGGGGUGAAGGGUGUUUAGGGAGAUCAGUUAUUCAUUUGUAUCAUAUUUUCAAAUAAGAUUGAAUUAAUAUGUCAUGUCAGGAAUAACGAAAGAAGUAAAAUUUCUCAGGAGCUUAUGAAAGUGGGUGGCGUGAGGAAGCACUGUGUCUGUACCACUGUGAACUAUGCUGUCCCAGCCUGGGCUUGGGCGGAAGACCCCAUCCCCCUAGAUCCAGGGAAUCCCCUUCUCCUCUUCCAAGGCUUAACACCCAGUCACAGCAAAGCCUCACUUCAAGAUAGCAUUUUAAAUUCCUACUCUACUUAAUUUAAAGUAUAGGUCAAGGAGGUAAAGGUGCCUAGGUGAUGCAGUUUGUGCUCGACAGCUCACCUAAAAGUAGGAGUACUGGGAGGAAAAGUCCUGGCGAUCUGCUUCUCUUAAGAUUACAGUCAAGAAAACCCAAUGGAGCAGUUCUACCCUGAAACACAUGGGGUCGCCACAAGUCAGAAUCGACUUCAUGGCAACUGACAACAACAAACUGAACCUGAGCUUCUGUGGUUCCUAAUUGUACACCCUUUCAUCAGCCAGUGUCUGCCCUCCUCCAUCUUUUCAGCUGCUUGCCCAUGCUGCCCUGGACCGCCCCAGCCCUGUUUCCUGUUUCCUCCUUGGUCCUCUGCCUGGCCGCUAACUUGCUUCUGAGAGCUUUCGCUACUUUCCACCCCACACCACACUCACACACCCAACCUGGCUCCGUCUGUUUUCUCUCUUCAUCCUGAGGUCUCGAAUCCUUCCCUCAUGUUCAGAAAUGUACAUAGAUAGACCUUAUGUUGACACGUACAACCCUCCUAGACAAACACAGGUGAGGUGGUUGUGUCUUAGCCUCUCAGGUUUGUGGCGUCAAGGCUUUCGGCCAAACAUAUGUUUUCUGCAUCACUCUGAAGUCACUCAUCUAAUAAGGACAUUUAAGGGGCUACUGUUCAAUUGUUUUCAAGAGGAAACAAUUUUAACCUAUUACUGUGGCUUGGUUAAGAAGGGUACAAGGAAGAGGUAUACCUGUCAGGGUCUUAACUAAAUAUACAAAUUAUUCUCUAACGUUUAAGUAUAAUUCCUUCUAUGAAAGACUUCCCUUAAAAAGAGGUGAAAAUUUCUCCCAUUUGCGUGUUUAAAUUUACUAAGAAAAUCACUUUCAUAGGAAACUCCUUUUGGAGAAGUCACAAAAUAUUAUAAAAGUUCAAGAAAAUGAGGUCAUUCCCAUGUUCCAAAGGAGCAAAUUCACUGAACAUUCUGCAAAUAAAGGGGGGAGGGAGCACAUUGGAUGAUCUUCUAUUUACAAAUAUAAAAUCCCAAGACAUGUUAUAGUGUUUUUAGAGUAAACAUUUUUGUUAUAAGGUACUACUAUCAUUAGUGUCAUUGUGCCCAGGGGAUUCUGUCUCCCACAGCAGCGCCCCCAAGGGGAGUGAGGGGUCCCAGGACAGAGGGAGAAUUGAUGAGAGGAUGGUGGUGAUGGACAGGCCCCAGGGAUCCCUAAGACCAAAUCCUUGGGCUCAUAGAUGAGUCUUCCCAAGACCCAGAGAUCAGUCUUCCCAAGGCCCAGACUCGAUAAUGAGCAGAAAAGGCCAAGUUUCAGCCACAACAGCAAGUAUUAGGAACUGGGAAACCCUGGAGGUGCCAGGGGUAUGUCCUUCCCUCGGUGAUGAGACCCCAAGUGGCACAGGGAAGCCCUCAGGGGCAAGGAAGGAAGGGCAGAGCCUCCAGGACAGGCAUUUCCAACCACAGGCUGCCCUGUUUGUACUUCUCAGAGUGACAGACUCUCCUGCGAGGGACAGGGUCAGAGACGGAGGAAGCGAGGGCUUUCAGGCGAGGUGAAUUCUGAAGUCUCCUGAUGAUCAAACAGAAAGCCCUGGAUGAUCAGAGGUACAAGAGAGUGAGGGGGCUGGCAUUCCCACAGUGGCCAUAGGCUGGCUGAGGGGGUCCUACUGUCCCUGGAGCUAUUGGUCAAAAUAUUUUUCCUUAAAAGCUGCAUCUUUCCAGUUAACUUCCUCUAUGUUCAGUCCAGGAAAAGGUGUAGCAUGCAAAGGGUACGUUUUCCAGCAGAGCAACAAAUGGAAGGAAGUGGUAGUGGCAUAUCAGGGAAAGAGAAUCUUCUAGAGACACAUGAGUUACCUAGUGAGCUGCAUGUGGUGUCCAGCCUUCCUCCUUUAUCUGUAGACAUGUACCUGCAAGAAACGUUUGAGGAGUAACUUCAUGGACCCUUACAAAAUUCUCGCUGGUCAUUUCCAGGUGUAGAGACCAGAAGAGCUCAUUGUCUCCAAGAACAAGCGUGAAAUCUGCUGGGUCUGACUGUUGAGCAGUCUGUGGUGUGCUCUUCUUCCAGUGAUUAAAAUCUUUGUAUCUGUUGUUAAAGAUAUUUUCCCCGUUCAAAAAAAAAAAUCCAACAAAAUGUUUUUAAAAUAAUGUAUCUAUGAUGAUGUUUAUCAACUUUCAAAGCUCUGAAAGUCUUUUGUAUAACACCUCUAAGGGUACAGAUUUGUAUAAUGAAAAAGUUACAGUCAUGGUCCCACCCUCAUAUGUAAUUUGGUCCUGCACCCCCAAGGCGUCCAAUGUUAAUAGACACGUGUAUCUUUCCCUACGUUUCUCAGCUGGGACACAUACACACAGUCACAGGUUCACAAGUAGAUCCCCUGGUUUGUUUGCUCUAAUGGAAAUUGGGUCAUACUCUACCCACGGUGCUCUGUAAAUUGCUAAUUCCCUGAAGGUCAUUAGGUAUGGCACUAACACUGCCUUUUUGGGUCUUCUAAGAUUGAACUCAUAUUUACACAUAAAGCAUUUAAAUAGAUGAGAACAAUUACUGUAUACACUAUCUAGACUCAUACAUAGCACUACUACAGUGGAAACACAUAUCACCAGUGCUUUCUAAGUCCGCUCUUCCUGCAUGUUCUAACUCCCCCGCCCCCACCAGUCCUUUUCCAGAAGUGAAUCCAAGGUAAUUCAGGUUAACAAUGUGGUAAGUACUCUCUCUUACCCUUGCUUAUACGAGCACACACAGACACAAAUGUAUCUUCGUCUGCUCCUUUACACACUCACAUAAACACAAACAGGUAUUCAAGCAUACUCAAACAAUUGCUAUUGCUUUACCCUAAUGUGCUCAUUUUAUACAGACUUCUCUGCACCUUCAUUUUCUCCUUCAAUAAUACUUCACAGAGAUUUCUCCUGUUUAACUACCAGAGUUCUUUUUCAUUCUAAUGACUCAAACUUUAUUGAUUUAGCUCUACCAUAAAUUAUCUAUCUUUCCACCAUCCAUGGCAGUCGAUUUUGCCGUUAUUAACAAUAACCGUCCUUUGUAUACUAGAGGAUUUGCUUCCAUGGGAUAGAUUCCAAAGGGUGAGAUUUCUAGGUCAAAGAAUGUUUCAAAAUUACAGAGCCAUGUCCGUGUCUUUCCCCUAAAGGCUGUCAUAACGCCCCUUUCCAGCCAUGUCUGAGGCACCCUUCUCCCCACAGCACCCCCCGGCCCCAGCCAUAGGUGGUGUAGAUUUUUAAAUUGUGCCAGUUUCACUGGGACUUUGAUAUUUUCUUCACUACCAGUGUUUUUGAACAACUUUGAUUAUGCUUAUUGGCCAUUCGUAUUUGCUCUGAACGGUCUUUUGAAUUCAUUGCUCAUUUUGCAAGUCCUCAAUUUUUGUCUUCCUUGUAUAAAAUGGAAAUAGUUGUUAAUCCUUAUCACCGACAUUUCCCAUAAUUUCCCAAAUCCAUCGCUGAUGUAUCACAUUCUUAGAAGUUUUUUUUUUUUUUUUUUGCCCAGAAUGAUCAGUUGAGUCAGCAGCGUUUAUAAGAUAAACCAUAAUUUUCCUGAGUUGAAAUACCACCUCUGUAUUAACGGUUAUUAUGAUAAUCUUUGUGGAUUUGCUACUUCGUUUCCUUGGUCUAGCUUUCAGUUCCUAUGCUAUGUAAUAUUUGUUCCAUUAGUUGAUGAAGCAGCCUCCUUCUUUUUCAUGUUUUUGUUGUCUGUUCUUUCGUAUCUGUUAUACUAUUUGCAUCUUAAGAUUACUGUAUACAAUUCAACAAAUAACUAGGUAAAUAUUCUAAUGGGAAUUGCAAUACAUUUGUAUGUUGGUUUUGGGGGACUGUCAUUGAUUAAACAAGACUUCCCAUUUGAUAAAACAUAUUUUUUGCAUUAUUAAGGUUUAAUUUUAUUUCCUCCUCUACUUCAAAUAGGCUCUUUUCUGUUCCAGUCAAAACAACAUUUUCCUAAGUAGUUUACGGUUUUGGACACAAUUUGAUGCAAUCAUGUAGUAAAGAAAAUUGUCUUUAUUCCUCCCACCCUGAAACUUCCAAUUUUGGGCACUGUGUCUAGAUUGGAGAGAAGUCAUUGAUUUUGGUAUAUUUGGCUUGUCAGUUUACCAAAAUUUUUAUCCUCAUUUUCUAGGUAUGCAAUUAUAUUAUCAUCAUAAAAAGAAGAAAAUCUGUUUUAAUAUUUAAUUCAUUCCUUAACUUUUCUAGCUCAUUAAUGCACCUAGAAAAGUAUGUUGGGUCAUAAAAGUAAUAACAGUAUAUUUGUCUACUUCCAAAUUUUAUUAGCAUGAAUGGAGUAUUUUUCCAUUUAUCUAAUAUCUACUAUGUUUUAUGAUAAUUUUUUAUGCCCCAGUAGAUAAUAUAUUGACCUGCUGACCGUUACAGUAAUGACAUACACCUUGUUUCUGACAGUUAAGUGCUUCCACCUGGCUUCUGCUGCUCUGGGACCCCAUUAUUCCCAUUGCUACUAGGCAGCUGUCUCCUACCCACAACCUAAGCCUCCAGAGGACAGACAUCGCUAAGUUUCACUUUGCUGCUGCUCCCCUCCACCGUGCAUUCCUUAUUGUUCUGAUGAGAGGAGUGUCCUUCAGGACUUCUCAAAAAUGGUCUUAAGAAAACUCACUCUGGAUGUCCAUGUAUUGGAGACUUUCCCCCCAUUUUUCAACAUCUGACACAGCAGUAACGGCAUUUUGAUUUCAUAGAAUGUGGACCAUUGCCUUUUCCAAGCUUCCAAGCGCAAUCCCUGUAGCAUAUUAAACCCAUUUCCAGAACCCCCACAAUGGCAAUAAAUCCUUUUUAGGAGAGAGUUCCCCCCAUAUCAACAAACUCUUCUUGACCCAACUUUACAUUAAACUCCCCUUGACUCAGCACCUUCAGCACUCGUCCCUCAGCACACCCCAGUCCUGCUCACACAAGGCAGCCAGGUCUUGCAGCUCCUUCAGUGUACAGUCCCUCCCCCCAACCACAACCAACACUUCCCCGGUGGCUAUGCUGGUAUCUGACAACUAAGUAUCUGGACAAAUGCAUGGGAUGCUAUCUCAGGACUCUGCAAAGGAAGUGGUUGAAGGUGGCUGGGGGAGGAAACCAGAACAUAAAGUAUGAAUAUUCCAGAGGCUGAAAUUAAAUGAGCCCAAAUCUCAUAACUACACUCAGGUUGUGGAUAGAAAUAGGUCCAAGACAAUCCUUCUUUCUCUCAUGCGGGGGGAAGACGGUCUGUAAAGGAGAGAGAUGGGCGGGCAGGCAGGCAGAGGGGCAAACACCUAAUACUCUAAGCCCAAAGAGUGUAGAGGAACGUCUGUUACGUUUUCUGUCUCUAUCAUACCAUUAUUUGGCCCCAUAGACAGACCCAGUCACUUAACCGCGUGGCAGAAUGAAGAGAUUAAAGCCCCAACAUUCUUGCCAGUGGACCGGGAAGGUAGCCCCUCAGAAGGCAGAGAGCCUCAGAGAGAUAGAGAGGAAGCAGCUCAAGACAGGGAUUUCAUAAAGUCGCACAUAAAGUCACCUCUAAGUUGACUCGAUGGCAAUGGGUAAGUUGCACAUGCAUAGAUCUGAUCCUAAGAAGCAUUGUAAACCUUUGAGCACUGUAUUAUGGGUUAGAACACCAUCUAGGUCCCAGACUGAGUGGCACUCACAUAGAUAAGUCCUCAAAAUAUUUUCGUCCUCUUAAGCUUUGAAAACUCAAAAGACAUUUGAGCCACAGCAUACAGGAGAUGAGACAGAACUUGCAGCCUGAACAUAACUGGGUCUAUUUCUUGCUAAAACAAGCAAACAAAAAAAUGACAAUUUCCAUAAGGUUAAAGCAGGACUCACAGCACUGGCAUAACAGAAAAAGUGUAAAAAGGUAUUGUAACCGUGCUCUAAGAAGUAACAGGAAGAGUUUUUUUUUUUUUUUUUAACAAAUGGCAAUGUAAAUAUUAUCACUAAAGAAAAAGAAGGUAUUUACAAAUGACAAUUUUUGAUGUGAGAAAAAUUUAGGUAUGAAUACACUAAUAAAAAAAAUUUUUUUUAGAAAUUAAAAAUUCACUUGAUGGGCUCAAUAGCAGAAUGUAGAUGGUAUUCUGUGUAGGUGUUAAAGUAUUUGAAAAAAUCUGGGCUGAACAGUUCCCAAUUUUGGUGAAAGACAAACUUACGAAUUUAAGAAGCUCAGGACAUGCCAACAAAUUAAAUUCAAAGAACUUUAUGCCCAAAUAAGUUAUAAUCAACUGUAGAAUAGCAAAGACAAUGAAAUGCCUUGGAAGAAGUUAGAGAGAAAACAACACAUUUCACAAAGGGGAAGAAAAUUUUCAAUUACUCUACAGUUCUCAUCCAAAACCAUGGAGGUCAAAAGACUGCAACAACAUUUUUUCAGUGCUGAAAGAAAAGAAUCGUUAACUCAGAAUUCUAUAUCCAGUGAAAAUAUCCAUCAGGAAUAAAGGAAAAUAAUGACAUUCUCAGCUGAAGGAACUCUAAAGAGAAUUCAUAACCACCAGACUUAGUUUAAGCACUAAAGGAAGUUCUUCAGGUGGCAGACUCGGAAUUUCAGGAAUUAUAGAAAGCAGCACAGUGCUAAGUAUCUGGGUGAACACUCUAUGCCAACCUUGCUGUCACUACACAACAUGGCGCAGGACUGCCCUCUUUGGAAAGUCUUUACAGCUUGGUGCAAACACUUUGGAAUACACUCUUGGUGGCGUAUCAGUACUAGAGAAUGAAAUUUACUUUGAAAAUAUGAGAGAUGUCUGUAGCCACAUCUGAUGAAAAACUGGAUAAUAACAUUUUGGACACCGAAUGAAAGAUGGUAGCAAACAAACAAACAAACAAAAUGAGUCUGAAUUCCCAUGUGCCCAUGAGCCGGCUCUGAAGGCCUUCCCCAGGGAGGCAUUUCAAAUACAUCUGGAGCAAUGGCAGCAUCAGGGAAUGAAGGCUAUAUACCUCUCCUCUGGCCUUCUCUGAAGGGUAACCACUUGCUUAAGUACCAAGCUUAGUGGUUAACAUAUAGUCAUUCUGUAGACAGUCUAGCUAAGAAUUACAAUGCCUCCUUGAGAGGAAAGCAUUUUAUACAAAUGACAUAAACAAGUGCCUCAAAGACAAAGUUAUAGUAAACCAAGGCAUUUCCUAUCAGUCUUUACCUGAGAGGGUCUUUGUAAGGAUUUCCAGCGGCUCAGAAAAAAGAACAGAGUAAACUCUGUCUUCUUUCACCUCUUCCCUCCUCAAGAAACAGGAACUGGUGCUAAGAUGUCAGGGGUCAAGCUCCAAACUCCUCUCCUGGUCCCGUAUCUAAGUUGUGUAAUAGCACCAGACAAUGAGCUAUAAGAAGAUGAACCCAAGGAGUAUUUCCAGUCUGUGACAGGUUUGCCUUCCAGUGAAAUCCUGUUUCAAAUCGCUAGACCAGUGGAGGAGCUCUGGUCCUCUGACCUGAGAGAAGGACAGGGUGGGGUUGUCAGAACCUCCUUGACCAUCAUUCUCCCCAAGAGGUUUUAGAGACUCGUUCAUGUCAUAACUCAAGGACUAUUACUGCCCAGUUGCAUAACUGCGGAAAAAGACUUUCUCCUUUGAAGGAGCAAAGGGCCCAGGAGGGGCAGGUGUGAGGCUUUUCUCUUUAAGUCAGCUUUGUGGCUUCAGGUCACUGGCCCCUGGCCACCUUCACAACCUGCCUUUUGAACUCAUCCUCAUCUCUCCCUCCCAAAUUCCCCCAGCACCCUGGGCUGUGGCUUCUGCGGGUUUCAAUGGUGUCCUUUCAGUAGCUCCUUGCUCUCCGCUGAGGGAGCAAACCCACAGUGCCCUUAAGUGUCCUUCAGUAGGAACAUUGCUGAGGGUACACGAUGGCCUGACUGAUCCUUAGACCCAGAUGGGCAGAACUUUGGGCGGGGGGUCAUUGUCCAGAAGUCUCAGCUUCCUUUAAGUGGCUCCAAACUUCAGUGUGUUGACUGCCCAAUACACAGGUGGGGGAAGCCUGUGGAAGAUUCUCAGUCCUAGUUUCACCCAGCACUGGGCAAACCCUAAGGGGGGAGAGCAGUGAGAUUCCUGAGGAUCUUUAUUCUAAAGUUCUCAAAGCAGCUGAUAUAGUCUUAAGAGGUGGGAGAUGAGAAAGCUUGGGACCAUGGGAGGGUGGCAAAAGAAGGAGACUCCUAUCACUCCCUCUGCGGUCUUGAGUAGUCCUUUCUUCCUUCCUCCCUUCCUUCCUCACACCCUCCCCCUUCCUUCCUUUCUCUUGCUUUUCCUCCCUUCCCUUCCUCCCUCCCUCCCUCUGUCGCUUCUUUCCUUCCUUCCCUCCAUCCCUCCCUUUCUCCCCGCUUCUUCCCUCUUCUUUUUUUUUUUUUUAAUGCAUCUCAGACUCCAAGCAGGCAUUUGUUGCUAAAAUCAUAUUUCUCUGUGUUAACUUAUGAUCCUUAACUUAAAUCUGGAGUAUGUAGCUCAUUUUGAUAAUUCCUCUUCUGUCUGCACAGAGAAGAGACUGCUCACAGCCAGUGAUGAGAGGGGAGGAAACAAAUUCCUUAGCCAGAGCAGGCUCUGCUGUUUCCUGUACUAGGGGUGACGCCCCUGGGGAGCCUUUCCCAGGGCAGCAGGGCAGGCAGUGAGUCCAGCCUGGGGCUGCGGCCAGGCUGUGUGGCCUCUGUGGCUUUGAUUUCUCCUCCUGGAAGGGUACCCUGUGGGCUUCCCAUGGGAGGACCCUGACUCCAUGGGUGACCACAACUCACUGCCCUGCCUCCUGUCCUCCUCUGGACCCAUGUCCUGAUAGGCCUUCUUCCCUCCUUCCCAGUAUAAGCAUUGUGAUCAAGCGGGGCAGAAAAAGUCCUCAGGGCCAGACCCUGGGCCUUGCCCUCCGUGGCCUUAGGCUUCCCCGAGUUUUGGUGGGACCUGUAGCCUGGCGGGGGUCUGGGGCCUUGAGGUGCUGGACUGGCUGGGCCUGUCCCAGAAGGCACAGCAGGCCGGGCUCUGUCCAGCAGCCCCA